GAAAUGCGAUACGUAAUGCGAAUUGCAGAACUUCGUGAAUCAUCAAAAUUUUGAACGCACAUUGCGCUACUGAGUAAUCUCAGUAGCAUGCUUAUCUGAGUGUCUCUAAACCCCACUCAGCCGAUGCUGCACUUAACUGUGCUAGCAACGCGCUGGACUGUGAUGGUGUUUGGCAACGAACUCCGUUCAAGUUCAUAGGUUUGUUGUUGACGCCCUUGCUGGCCGAACGCGAAUCGCAACUAGAUUUGGUAGGUGCACUUAUGUGUAUUUUGAAUYUGGCUUGUGAGUUGCCGAGGCUUACGAGAGCAUYUCCAGCGAAUUGGGCUACCAGCACUUGCUGGCCUGCCCGGAAUGAAUGUACCUCAUCUAUGGAUCUCAAAUUAAGUAAAACUACCCGCUGAAUUUAACCAUAUAAUUAACCGGAGGAAAAAAAACUAACAAGGAUUCCCCU
This 451-nucleotide ribosomal RNA is filed under the name Skeletonema marinoi. RNAcentral's name for it is "eukaryotic LSU rRNA". The stretch from base 1 to 105 matches the Rfam family "5.8S ribosomal RNA", at positions 50 to 154 of the family's 154-position model. Lineage: Eukaryota; Bacillariophyta; Thalassiosirophyceae; Thalassiosirales; Thalassiosiraceae. The record is from RNAcentral.